GCUGGUUUCCCAGCUCUGCUAAGCCGGCUAGUCCCUCCCAGAGCUGGAGGUGGACGUGGGGCAGCACCUGCGCCCCAGCCGAUAUUUCAGAAGAGUAGUGUCAUUCAACGUUUGCCGUUUUUGUCUGGCUGAUGGCACUUAGGAUGUCUCCAAGGUUCAUCCACGGUGUAGCAGGUGUCAGAGCGUCACGCUUUCCCGCAGCUGGCAAUCCACCGUCUAAUAAACCACAUUUUCUCCGGU
Long non-coding RNA from Choloepus didactylus (southern two-toed sloth), 240 nucleotides. RefSeq lists it as uncharacterized. The transcript has 2 exons. The record is from RefSeq and is a predicted model, not a curated record. Lineage: Eukaryota; Metazoa; Chordata; Mammalia; Pilosa; Megalonychidae.